Molecule: ribosomal RNA, 401 nt
Filed under: uncultured bacterium
Lineage: Bacteria
Description: partial 16S ribosomal RNA
Rfam family: Bacterial small subunit ribosomal RNA
Source: RNAcentral
CCUACGGGCGGCAGCAGUGGGGAAUAUUGGGCAAUGGAGGAAACUCUGACCCAGCAACGCCGCGUGAAUGAUGAAGGUCUUCGGAUUGUAAAGUUCUUUUCUAAGGAAGAAGAAAGUGACGGGACCUGAGGAAUAAGCCUCGGCUAACUACGGGCCAGCAGCCGCGGUAAUACGUAGGAGGCGAGCGUUCUCCGGAAGGACUGGGCGGAAAGGGUGCGUAGGUGGUUUGGCAAGUUAGUAGCGGAACUCCCCGGCUCAACCUUGGAACUACGACUAAAACUGUUGGACUUGAGUGCAGGAGGGGCAACCGGAAUUCCUAGUGUAGCUGUGUCAUGCGUAGAUAUUAGGAGGACCACCAGUGGCGAAGGCGUGUUGCUAGACUGUAACUGACACUGAGGCAC